GUAGGGCGGGACACGUGGUAUCCUGUCUGAAUAUGGGGGGACCAUCCUCCAAGGCUAAAUACUCCUGACUGACCGAUAGUGAACCAGUACCGUGAGGGAAAGGCGAAAAGAACCCCGGCGAGGGGAGUGAAAAAGAACCUGAAACCGUGUACGUACAAGCAGUGGGAGCACAGAGCAAUCUGUGUGACUGCGUACCUUUUGUAUAAUGGGUCAGCGACUUAUAUUCUGUAGCAAGGUUAACCGAAUAGGGGAGCCGAAGGGAAACCGAGUCUUAACUGGGCGUUAAGUUGCAGGGUAUAGACCCGAAACCCGGUGAUCUAGCCAUGGGCAGGUUGAAGGUUGGGUAACACUAACUGGAGGACCGAACCGACUAAUGUUGAAAAAUUAGCGGAUGACUUGUGGCUGGGGGUGAAAGGCCAAUCAAACCGGGAGAUAGCUGGUUCUCCCCGAAAGCUAUUUAGGUAGCGCCUCGUGAAUUCAUCUCCGGGGGUAGAGCACUGUUUCGGCAAGGGGGUCAUCCCGACUUACCAACCCGAUGCAAACUGCGAAUACCGGAGAAUGUUAUCACGGGAGACACACGGCGGGUGCUAACGUCCGUCGUGAAGAGGGAAACAACCCAGACCGCCAGCUAAGGUCCCAAAGUCAUGGUUAAGUGGGAAACGAUGUGGGAAGGCCCAGACAGCCAGGAUGUUGGCUUAGAAGCAGCCAUCAUUUAAAGAAAGCGUAAUAGCUCACUGGUCGAGUCGGCCUGCGCGGAAGAUGUAACGGGGCUAAACCAUGCACCGAAGCUGCGGCAGCGACGCUUAUGCGUUGUUGGGUAGGGGAGCGUUCUGUAAGCCUGCGAAGGUGUGCUGUGAGGCAUGCUGGAGGUAUCAGAAGUGCGAAUGCUGACAUAAGUAACGAUAAAGCGGGUGAAAAGCCCGCUCGCCGGAAGACCAAGGGUUCCUGUCCAACGUUAAUCGGGGCAGGGUGAGUCGACCCCUAAGGCGAGGCCGAAAGGCGUAGUCGAUGGGAAACAGGUUAAUAUUCCUGUACUUGGUGUUACUGCGAAGGGGGGACGGAGAAGGCUAUGUUGGCCGGGCGACGGUUGUCCCGGUUUAAGCGUGUAGGCUGGUUUUCCAGGCAAAUCCGGAAAAUCAAGGCUGAGGCGUGAUGACGAGGCACUACGGUGCUGAAGCAACAAAUGCCCUGCUUCCAGGAAAAGCCUCUAAGCAUCAGGUAACAUCAAAUCGUACCCCAAACCGACACAGGUGGUCAGGUAGAGAAUACCAAGGCGCUUGAGAGAACUCGGGUGAAGGAACUAGGCAAAAUGGUGCCGUAACUUCGGGAGAAGGCACGCUGAUAUGUAGGUGAAGCGACUUGCUCGUGGAGCUGAAAUCAGUCGAAGAUACCAGCUGGCUGCAACUGUUUAUUAAAAACACAGCACUGUGCAAACACGAAAGUGGACGUAUACGGUGUGACGCCUGCCCGGUGCCGGAAGGUUAAUUGAUGGGGUCAGCGCAAGCGAAGCUCUUGAUCGAAGCCCCGGUAAACGGCGGCCGUAACUAUAACGGUCCUAAGGUAGCGAAAUUCCUUGUCGGGUAAGUUCCGACCUGCACGAAUGGCGUAAUGAUGGCCAGGCUGUCUCCACCCGAGACUCAGUGAAAUUGAACUCGCUGUGAAGAUGCAGUGUACCCGCGGCAAGACGGAAAGACCCCGUGAACCUUUACUAUAGCUUGACACUGAACAUUGAGCCUUGAUGUGUAGGAUAGGUGGGAGGCUUUGAAGUGUGGACGCCAGUCUGCAUGGAGCCGACCUUGAAAUACCACCCUUUAAUGUUUGAUGUUCUAACGUGGACCCGUAAUCCGGGUUGCGGACAGUGUCUGGUGGGUAGUUUGACUGGGGCGGUCUCCUCCUAAAGAGUAACGGAGGAGCACGAAGGUUGGCUAAUCCUGGUCGGACAUCAGGAGGUUAGUGCAAUGGCAUAAGCCAGCUUGACUGCGAGCGUGACGGCGCGAGCAGGUGCGAAAGCAGGUCAUAGUGAUCCGGUGGUUCUGAAUGGAAGGGCCAUCGCUCAACGGAUAAAAGGUACUCCGGGGAUAACAGGCUGAUACCGCCCAAGAGUUCAUAUCGACGGCGGUGUUUGGCACCUCGAUGUCGGCUCAUCACAUCCUGGGGCUGAAGUAGGUCCCAAGGGUAUGGCUGUUCGCCAUUUAAAGUGGUACGCGAGCUGGGUUUAGAACGUCGUGAGACAGUUCGGUCCCUAUCUGCCGUGGGCGCUGGAGAACUGAGGGGGGCUGCUCCUAGUACGAGAGGACCGGAGUGGACGCAUCACUGGUGUUCGGGUUGUCAUGCCAAUGGCACUGCCCGGUAGCUAAAUGCGGAAGAGAUAAGUGCUGAAAGCAUCUAAGCACGAAACUUGCCCCGAGAUGAGUUCUCCCUGACUCCUUGAGAGUCCUGAAGGAACGUUGAAGACGACGACGUUGAUAGGCCGGGUGUGUAAGCGCAGCGAUGCGUUGAGCUAACCGGUACUAAUGAACCGUGAGG
This 2526-nucleotide ribosomal RNA is filed under the name Escherichia coli. Its description in RNAcentral is "partial 23S ribosomal RNA". It matches the Rfam family "Bacterial large subunit ribosomal RNA", at positions 412 to 2915 of the family's 2925-position model. The record is from RNAcentral. Lineage: Bacteria; Pseudomonadati; Pseudomonadota; Gammaproteobacteria; Enterobacterales; Enterobacteriaceae.